UACGGAGGAUCCAAGCGUUAUCCGGAAUCAUUGGGUUUAAAGGGUCCGUAGGCGGGUUAAUAAGUCAGUGGUGAAAGUCUGCCGCUCAACUGUAGAACUGCCAUUGAUACUGAUAACCUUGAGUUAUUAUGAAGUGGUUAGAAUAAGUAGUGUAGCGGUGAAAUGCAUAGAUAUUACACAGAAUACCGAUUGCGUAGGCAGAUCACUAAUAAUUUACCGACGCUGAUGGACGAAAGCGUAGGUAGCGAACAGG
This 253-nucleotide unclassified non-coding RNA is filed under the name uncultured Flavobacteriaceae bacterium. RNAcentral's name for it is "contains 16S-23S intergenic spacer region". It matches the Rfam family "Bacterial small subunit ribosomal RNA", at positions 524 to 776 of the family's 1533-position model. Lineage: Bacteria; Pseudomonadati; Bacteroidota; Flavobacteriia; Flavobacteriales; Flavobacteriaceae. The record is from RNAcentral.